RNAcentral lists this ribosomal RNA (615 nucleotides) under uncultured bacterium. RNAcentral's name for it is "bacterial SSU rRNA". It matches the Rfam family "Bacterial small subunit ribosomal RNA", at positions 338 to 955 of the family's 1533-position model. The record is from RNAcentral.
CCUACGGGAGGCAGCAGUUAGGAAUAUUCGACAAUGGGGGAAACCCUGAUCGAGCAAUGCCGCGUGAGUGAUGACGGUCCUAUGGAUUGUAAAACUCUGUUGUUUGGAAAGAAUUGUAAGAAGAGGAAAUGCUUCUUACUUGACGGUACCAUUCAAGAAAGCUCCGGCUAACUACGUGCCAGCAGCCGCGGUAAUACGUAGGGAGCGAGCGUUAUCCGGAUUUAUUGGGCGUAAAGCGUCCGCAGCCGGUUUAUUAAGUAUAGAAUUAAAGCCUGGAGCUCAACUCCAGUUCGUUCUAUAAACUGAUAGGCUGGAGUAUGGUAGAGGCAAGUGGAAUUUCUAGUGUAGCGGUAAAAUGCGUAGAUAUUAGAAGGAACACCAGUGGCGAAGGCGACUUGCUGGGCCAUUACUGACGGUCAUGGACGAAAGCGUGGGGAGCAAAUAGGAUUAGAUACCCUAGUAGUCCACGCUGUAAACCGAUGAGUACUAAGUGUCGGGUUACCGGUGCUGAAGUUAACACAUUAAGUACUCCGCCUGAGUAGUACGGUCGCGAGCGUGAACGUUAAAGUAAGUAGUAGACGNGNGAGAGCGACGACGACGACGACGGAGGAGGAG